Molecule: ribosomal RNA, 1306 nt
Filed under: Staphylococcus epidermidis
Lineage: Bacteria; Bacillati; Bacillota; Bacilli; Caryophanales; Staphylococcaceae
Description: bacterial SSU rRNA
Rfam family: Bacterial small subunit ribosomal RNA
Source: RNAcentral
CGAGCGAACAGACGAGGAGCUUGCUCCUCUGACGUUAGCGGCGGACGGGUGAGUAACACGUGGAUAACCUACCUAUAAGACUGGGAUAACUUCGGGAAACCGGAGCUAAUACCGGAUAAUAUAUUGAACCGCAUGGUUCAAUAGUGAAAGACGGUUUUGCUGUCACUUAUAGAUGGAUCCGCGCCGCAUUAGCUAGUUGGUAAGGUAACGGCUUACCAAGGCAACGAUGCGUAGCCGACCUGAGAGGGUGAUCGGCCACACUGGAACUGAGACACGGUCCAGACUCCUACGGGAGGCAGCAGUAGGGAAUCUUCCGCAAUGGGCGAAAGCCUGACGGAGCAACGCCGCGUGAGUGAUGAAGGUCUUCGGAUCGUAAAACUCUGUUAUUAGGGAAGAACAAAUGUGUAAGUAACUAUGCACGUCUUGACGGUACCUAAUCAGAAAGCCACGGCUAACUACGUGCCAGCAGCCGCGGUAAUACGUAGGUGGCAAGCGUUAUCCGGAAUUAUUGGGCGUAAAGCGCGCGUAGGCGGUUUUUUAAGUCUGAUGUGAAAGCCCACGGCUCAACCGUGGAGGGUCAUUGGAAACUGGAAAACUUGAGUGCAGAAGAGGAAAGUGGAAUUCCAUGUGUAGCGGUGAAAUGCGCAGAGAUAUGGAGGAACACCAGUGGCGAAGGCGACUUUCUGGUCUGUAACUGACGCUGAUGUGCGAAAGCGUGGGGAUCAAACAGGAUUAGAUACCCUGGUAGUCCACGCCGUAAACGAUGAGUGCUAAGUGUUAGGGGGUUUCCGCCCCUUAGUGCUGCAGCUAACGCAUUAAGCACUCCGCCUGGGGAGUACGACCGCAAGGUUGAAACUCAAAGGAAUUGACGGGGACCCGCACAAGCGGUGGAGCAUGUGGUUUAAUUCGAAGCAACGCGAAGAACCUUACCAAAUCUUGACAUCUUCUGACCCCUCUAGAGAUAGAGUUUUCCCCUUCGGGGGACAGAGUGACAGGUGGUGCAUGGUUGUCGUCAGCUCGUGUCGUGAGAUGUUGGGUUAAGUCCCGCAACGAGCGCAACCCUUAAGCUUAGUUGCCAUCAUUAAGUUGGGCACUCUAAGUUGACUGCCGGUGACAAACCGGAGGAAGGUGGGGAUGACGUCAAAUCAUCAUGCCCCUUAUGAUUUGGGCUACACACGUGCUACAAUGGACAAUACAAAGGGCAGCGAAACCGCGAGGUCAAGCAAAUCCCAUAAAGUUGUUCUCAGUUCGGAUUGUAGUCUGCAACUCGACUAUAUGAAGCUGGAAUCGCUAGUAAUCGUAGAUC